GAUGAAGAACGUAGCGAAAUGCGAUAAGUAAUGUGAAUUGCAGAAUUCAGUGAAUCAUCGAAUCUUUGAACGCACAUUGCGCCCGCCAGUAUUCUGGCGGGCAUGCCUGUUCGAGCGUCAUUACAACCCUCAGGCCCCCGGGCCUGGCGUUGGGGAUCGGCGGAGCCCCCCGUGGGCACACGCCGUCCCCCAAAUACAGUGGCGGUCCCGCCGCAGCUUCCAUCGCGUAGUAGCUAACACCUCGCAACUGGAGAGCGGCGCGGCCACGCCGUAAAACACCCAACUCUUCUGAAGUUGACCUCGAAUCAGGUAGGAAUACCCGCUGAACUUAAGCAUAUCAAUAAGCGGAGGA
RNAcentral lists this unclassified non-coding RNA (352 nucleotides) under soil metagenome. RNAcentral's name for it is "partial contains 5.8S ribosomal RNA, internal transcribed spacer 2, and large subunit ribosomal RNA". The stretch from base 1 to 120 matches the Rfam family "5.8S ribosomal RNA", at positions 35 to 154 of the family's 154-position model. The record is from RNAcentral.